RNAcentral lists this ribosomal RNA (274 nucleotides) under uncultured bacterium. RNAcentral describes it as "partial 16S ribosomal RNA". It matches the Rfam family "Bacterial small subunit ribosomal RNA", at positions 362 to 634 of the family's 1533-position model. The record is from RNAcentral.
UAUUGGUCAAUGGACGCAAGUCUGAACCAGCCAUGCCGCGUGAAGGAUGAAGGUCCUCUGGAUUGUAAACUUCUUUUAUCUGGGACGAAAACGGGGUUUUUAUCUCAAUUGACGGUACCAGAGGACUAAGCACCGGCUAACUCCGUGCCAGCAGCCGCGGUAAUACGGAGAGUGCGAGCGUUAUCCGGAUAUACUGGGUUUAAAGGGUGCGUAGGUGGGCUGAUUAGUCAGUCGUGAAAUCUCCGCGCUUAACUUGGAAUCUGCCGUUGAUACU